AGUUUGAUCAUGGCUCAGAACGAACGCUGGCGGCAGGCUUAACACAUGCAAGUCGAACGCGUGUAGCAAUACACGAGUGGCGCACGGGUGAGUAACGCGUGGAUAUCUGCCUUUUGGUUCGGAAUAACCCCGGGAAACUGGGGCUAAUACCGGAUGGUUCCUUCGGGAUAAAGAUUUAUCGCCAAAAGAUGAGUCCGCGUCCGAUUAGCUAGUUGGUGAGGUAAUGGCUCACCAAGGCGACGAUCGGUAGCUGGUCUGAGAGGACGAUCAGCCACACUGGGACUGAGACACGGCCCAGACUCCUACGGGAGGCAGCAGUGGGGAAUAUUGGACAAUGGGGGCAACCCUGAUCCAGCCAUGCCGCGUGAGUGAUGAAGGCCUUCGGGUUGUAAAGCUCUUUUGGCGGGGACGAUGAUGACGGUACCCGCAGAAUAAGCCCCGGCUAACUUCGUGCCAGCAGCCGCGGUAAGACGAAGGGGGCUAGCGUUGUUCGGAAUUACUGGGCGUAAAGCGAGUGUAGGUGGUUGUCCAAGUUGGAUGUGAAAGCCUUGAGCUCAACUCAAGAAAUGCAUUCAGGACUGGGCGGCUAGAGGACCGGAGAGGAUAGUGGAAUUCCCAGUGUA
This 623-nucleotide ribosomal RNA is filed under the name uncultured bacterium. RNAcentral describes it as "bacterial SSU rRNA". It matches the Rfam family "Bacterial small subunit ribosomal RNA", at positions 10 to 677 of the family's 1533-position model. The record is from RNAcentral.